This 74-nucleotide transfer RNA is filed under the name Klebsiella phage KPP-1. Its description in RNAcentral is "tRNA-Lys". It matches the Rfam family "tRNA". From Rfam's summary of the family: Transfer RNA (tRNA) molecules are approximately 80 nucleotides in length. Their secondary structure includes four short double-helical elements and three loops (D, anti-codon, and T loops). The record is from RNAcentral. Lineage: Duplodnaviria; Heunggongvirae; Uroviricota; Caudoviricetes.
GGGUCGCUAGCUAAACUGGAUAAGGCACCGGGCUUUUAACUCGGGGAUUGAAGGUUCGAAUCCUUCGCGGCCCA